GUGAAUCAUCAAAUUUUUGAACGCAAAUUGCACUCUCUUCGGAGAGUAUGUCUGUUUGAGGGUCAGCCUAAAAAAUAUCGACAUAGUUGCUGUUUCGCGGUGACAUUUGUCGGAAAUUGGGUCAUCUUAAAACUUUGGGUUUUAAGAGGCUUAAAAUUUUCUUUACGAUUACACGAAAGUAUCUAAGAUUUUACUUUUUACACAUGUUUAAGGUAUCGAUCUUUAUUAGAGGUUGCGGUUGCAUAGGAUCGAGUGCAUAAAUAUUUCGUUAACUG
RNAcentral lists this unclassified non-coding RNA (275 nucleotides) under Glomus sp. Its description in RNAcentral is "partial contains 5.8S ribosomal RNA and internal transcribed spacer 2". The stretch from base 1 to 65 matches the Rfam family "5.8S ribosomal RNA", at positions 84 to 154 of the family's 154-position model. The record is from RNAcentral. Lineage: Eukaryota; Fungi; Glomeromycota; Glomeromycetes; Glomerales; Glomeraceae.